RNAcentral lists this ribosomal RNA (440 nucleotides) under uncultured Anaerolineaceae bacterium. RNAcentral describes it as "partial 16S ribosomal RNA". Lineage: Bacteria; Bacillati; Chloroflexota; Anaerolineae; Anaerolineales; Anaerolineaceae. The record is from RNAcentral.
GACUACCAGGGUAUCUAAUCCCGUUUGCUACCCUAGCUUUCGCGUCUGAGUGUCAGGAAUGGUCCAGAAGGCCGCCUUCGCCACUGGUGUUCCUCCGGAUAUCUGCGCAUUCCACCGCUACACCCGGAAUUCCACCUUCCUCUACCAUCCUCUAGCUCUGCAGUUUAGAACGGCCUCUCCCAGUUGAGCCAGGAGCUUUCACGCCCUACUUACAGAACCACCUACACGCGCUUUACGCCCAGUAAAUCCGGAUAACGUUUGCCUCCUACGUGUUACCGCGGCUGCUGGCACGUAGUUAGCCGAGACUUAUUCAGAGAGUACCGUCCUUCCUCAUCCUCUCUAAAAGUGCUUUACAACCCGAAGGCCUUCUUCGCACACGCGGUGUCGCUAGUUCAGGCUUUCGCCCAUUACUAAUAUUCCCUACUGCAGCCCCCCGUAGG